GAUCCUGGCUCAGGAUGAACGCUAGCGACAGGCUUAACACAUGCAAGUCGAGGGGCAGCACAGGUAGCAAUACCGGGUGGCGACCGGCGCACGGGUGAGUAACGCGUAUGCAACUUACCUAUCAGAGGGGGAUAACCCGGCGAAAGUCGGACUAAUACCGCAUGAAGCAGGGGCCCCGCAUGGGGAUAUUUGCUAAAGAUUUAUCGCUGAUAGAUAGGCAUGCGUUCCAUUAGGCAGG
RNAcentral lists this ribosomal RNA (238 nucleotides) under uncultured bacterium. RNAcentral's name for it is "partial 16S ribosomal RNA". It matches the Rfam family "Bacterial small subunit ribosomal RNA", at positions 15 to 249 of the family's 1533-position model. The record is from RNAcentral.